UUACUUGACUUCCAGUAUCUUCUAAAUCUUCCAUUAGACAAAUGUUGGCUUCUUCAUCUGAAUCACUUGAGCUUGUUGAACUGGAAGCAUUGUCUUCCCAAGCUAUGUAAGCUUUCUUUUUCUUUUGGAAUUUACUUUCCUUCUUUUCUUCAUUUUUUCUGUUCUUUGGACAUUCAGAUUUCACGUGUCCUCUUUCUCCACAACCAAAGCAUUUUACACUUGAAGGAGAAUCUUNAUUUUCUCUCCUUUCUUUGCGGAAUUUGUCUUUU
RNAcentral lists this long non-coding RNA (269 nucleotides) under Vigna radiata. Its description in RNAcentral is "long non-coding RNA (VRAD_LNC005923)". Lineage: Eukaryota; Viridiplantae; Streptophyta; Magnoliopsida; Fabales; Fabaceae. The record is from RNAcentral.